GCCGCGUGAGUGAUGAAGGUUUUCGGAUCGUAAAGCUCUGUUGUUAGGGAAGAACAAGUGCCGUUCAAAUAGGGCGGCACCUUGACGGUACCUAACCAGAAAGCCACGGCUAACUACGUGCCAGCAGCCGCGGUAAUACGUAGGUGGCAAGCGUUGUCCGGAAUUAUUGGGCGUAAAGGGCUCGCAGGCGGUUUCUUAAGUCUGAUGUGAAAGCCCCCGGCUCAACCGGGGAGGGUCAUUGGAAACUGGGGAACUUGAGUGCAGAAGAGGAGAGUGGAAUUCCACGUGUAGCGGUGAAAUGCGUAGAGAUGUGGAGGAACACCAGUGGCGAAGGCGACUCUCUGGUCUGUAACUGACGCUGAGGAGCGAAAGCGUGGGGAGCGAACAGGAUUAGAUACCCUGGUAGUCCACGCCGUAAACGAUGAGUGCUAAGUGUUAGGGGGUUUCCGCCCCUUAGUGCUGCAGCUAACGCAUUAAGCACUCCGCCUGGGGAGUACGGUCGCAAGACUGAAACUCAAAGGAAUUGACGGGGGCCCGCACAAGCGGUGGAGCAUGUGGUUUAAUUCGAAGCAACGCGAAGAACCUUACCAGGUCUUGACAUCCUCUGACAAUCCUAGAGAUAGGACGUCCCCUUCGGGGGCAGAGUGACAGGUGGUGCAUGGUUGUCGUCAGCUCGUGUCGUGAGA
This 686-nucleotide ribosomal RNA is filed under the name Bacillus sp. 4S2(2015). Its description in RNAcentral is "bacterial SSU rRNA". It matches the Rfam family "Bacterial small subunit ribosomal RNA", at positions 396 to 1072 of the family's 1533-position model. The record is from RNAcentral. Lineage: Bacteria; Bacillati; Bacillota; Bacilli; Caryophanales; Bacillaceae.